RNAcentral lists this transfer RNA (113 nucleotides) under Fusarium culmorum. It matches the Rfam family "tRNA". Rfam says of the family: Transfer RNA (tRNA) molecules are approximately 80 nucleotides in length. Their secondary structure includes four short double-helical elements and three loops (D, anti-codon, and T loops). Further hydrogen bonds mediate the characteristic L-shaped molecular structure. tRNAs have two regions of fundamental functional importance: the anti-codon, which is responsible for specific mRNA codon recognition, and the 3' end, to which the tRNAs corresponding amino acid is attached (by aminoacyl-tRNA synthetases). tRNAs cope with the degeneracy of the genetic code in two manners: having more than one tRNA (with a specific anti-codon) for a particular amino acid; and 'wobble' base-pairing, i.e. permitting non-standard base-pairing at the 3rd anti-codon position. Lineage: Eukaryota; Fungi; Ascomycota; Sordariomycetes; Hypocreales; Nectriaceae. The record is from Rfam by way of RNAcentral.
GCCCGUGUGGCGUAAUGGCUAACGCGUCUGACUUCUAAGCAAACUGUGUUAUUUAUCACAUCAGUUGUCUAGAGCGUAUCAGAAGAUUGCGAGUUCGAGUCUCGCCAUGGGCU